This 182-nucleotide ribosomal RNA is filed under the name Brenneria alni. Its description in RNAcentral is "partial 16S ribosomal RNA". It matches the Rfam family "Bacterial small subunit ribosomal RNA", at positions 1 to 173 of the family's 1533-position model. The record is from RNAcentral. Lineage: Bacteria; Pseudomonadati; Pseudomonadota; Gammaproteobacteria; Enterobacterales; Pectobacteriaceae.
CUUAAAUUGAAGAGUUUGAUCAUGGCUCAGAUUGAACGCUGGCGGCAGGCCUAACACAUGCAAGUCGGGCGGUAGCACAGGGGAGCUUGCUCCCUGGGUGACGAGCGGCGGACGGGUGAGUAAAGUCUGGGAAACUGCCUGAUGGAGGGGGAUAACUACUGGAAACGGUAGCUAAUACCGCA